AAGAACUUUCCACCUUGCUCUUGGGGAGACUCGAACUCACAACCUCUCGGUUGGAAGUGGGGGUUGCUUACCAUCAGAGCAACCCCUCUUGUCAAAAGUGCAACCCAGUUAAUCCCACUUAGUGGGAUCUGGCGCAGACCUUACCCAUACACUGGGGUAGAGAGGCUGUUUCCAAAUAGACCCCUGGCAUCCUUACCUCCAAAAACUACCUACCUUUGCUCUUGGGGAGACUCGAACUCACAACCUCUCGGUUGGAAGUGGGGGUUGCUUACAAUAAUAUAUUAAAUCACCCAUCCCAUCACUUAAACCCCAAAUAGACCCCUGGCAUCCUUACCUCCAAAAACUACCUACCUUUGCUCUUGGGGAGACUCGAACUCACAACCUCUCGGUUGGAAGUGGGGGUUGCUUACCAUCAGAGCAAGCCCCUCUUGUCCCAAAUUAAUACACCUAUAGAGCACUUAUUUCCAUAGCCACCUUCUAGGAAGGGUACUCUGGACAAUAAGCCUCCGACAAGUAGCUAAUUGCAAGUAUGCAGAAGAACUUUGAUUCAACAUGUAUUCUAGGUAUUAAGUAUUCUAUGUAAAAACUCUUUUACUCCUAUGUGCUUUUUUUGACGAUCUAAG
This 623-nucleotide long non-coding RNA is filed under the name Nicotiana benthamiana. Its description in RNAcentral is "long non-coding RNA (NBEN_LNC007464)". Lineage: Eukaryota; Viridiplantae; Streptophyta; Magnoliopsida; Solanales; Solanaceae. The record is from RNAcentral.